UUGAUUUUCUGUCCUUUGGCAGAGUGUGUUCGAGGCUUCCAAUUCUUGAAUCGAUGGAGGCUGGCGCUGCGUUCUUCCAUCGGUUCUUCUUUCUUUGUAGUUCACGAUUGAUCAAUUCUUCGUGAGAUUCGUUAGCCAACUUCUCCAGACUUCUCCAGUCAUCGUCUGCGGCAAUUGCAGAUCGCCGGAGUGGCCUCCUCUGGCCAUAGAGAGGCCUUGCCGUUUGCCGCCGCUGUCGUCGGCAGUCAUGUGGCGGAUUGAAGCGCCGGAGGGCGCCGCUUCGACGCGCCUACAGAGGAGGGCGUCGUCAACCAUGGGGUGCCUCAGCCGCCUGCAUCGCGCGCUGGUGCUGCGCCGCUGGAGCGCUGUCGAGGCCGAGGGUCCUCGUGUCCUUGGGGCCGGAGGGAGGGUCAGGGACGGUGGAGCCGUCGAGUUCUUGGCCUAAUUGCUCUCUGGAAGAGGCGUGCGUGAUAACGUGUUAGAGAGAAUCGAGAGAGAGGAGCGAAUGGAAAACAGAUAUAUGAAUGAACAGUUAUUCUAUUGAUUGAA
This is a long non-coding RNA of Triticum dicoccoides, 549 nucleotides long. RefSeq lists it as uncharacterized. The record is from RefSeq and is a predicted model, not a curated record. Lineage: Eukaryota; Viridiplantae; Streptophyta; Magnoliopsida; Poales; Poaceae. The transcript has 2 exons.